Molecule: ribosomal RNA, 446 nt
Filed under: uncultured bacterium
Lineage: Bacteria
Description: partial 16S ribosomal RNA
Rfam family: Bacterial small subunit ribosomal RNA
Source: RNAcentral
AACGAACGCUGGCGGCAUGCCUAACACAUGCAAGUCGAACGAUGCCUUCGGGCAUAGUGGCGCACGGGUGCGUAACGCGUGGGAAUCUGCCCUUGGCUUCGGAAUAACAGUUAGAAAUGACUGCUAAUACCGGAUGAUGUCCCCCUGAGAGAUCUUGGGGACCAAAGAUUUAUCGGCCAGGGAUGAGCCCGCGUAGGAUUAGGUAGUUGGUGGGGUAAAGGCCUACCAAGCCGACGAUCCUUAGCUGGUCUGAGAGGAUGAUCAGCCACACUGGGACUGAGACACGGCCCAGACUCCUACGGGAGGCAGCAGUGGGGAAUAUUGACAAUGGGGGGAACCCUGAUCCAGCAAUGCCGCGUGAGUGAUGAAGGCCUUAGGGUUGUAAAGCUCUUUUACCAGGGAUGAUAAUGACAGUACCUGGAGAAUAAGCUCCGGCUAACUCCGUG